Molecule: long non-coding RNA, 4822 nt
Filed under: Homo sapiens (human)
Lineage: Eukaryota; Metazoa; Chordata; Mammalia; Primates; Hominidae
Description: HSALNT0355171
Source: RNAcentral
AGUCCACCACGUAAGGACACAGCAAGAAGGCACCAUCUAUGAACCAGGAAGCAAAACAGUCCUCAUCAGGCACCAAUCUGCUGGCACCUUGAUCUCGGACUUCCCAGCCUCCAGAACUGUGAGCAAUAAAUUUGUUGUUUUUAAGCCGCCCAGUCUGUGAUGUUUUGUUUUAGCAUCCCAGACUAAGUAAGGGUUUAAAAGAGGUGAUUAAGUUAAAAUGAGGUCAUCAGGGUGCACCCCAGUCCGACAUAGCUGAUGUCCUUAUAAGAAGAGGAAAUUAGGACACAGACAUAUGCCAUGUGAAGACGCAGGGAGAAUGUGACAUCUGCAAGCCAAGGAGAGAGGCUGCAGGAGAAACCAGCUCUGCUGACACUUUGAUCUCAAGCUCUGGCCACCAGAACUGUGAGCAAAUAAGUGUCUGUUGUUUAGGGCACCCUGUCCAUGGCACCUUGCUCCGAUAGCCCCAGGAAACGAAUCCACAGAGGAGGAAGCCGAGGUUGGGAAAGGUGGAGGGACUUGCCCAAGUCACACAAACGACAACUCAGCAGAGCUGAGAAUUGGCACCCAGGGCAACUGGAGUCCAUCCUGAGCUUGUCACUGCUGGGCUCUGAGACCUCCUGGUGAAGAAGGACAGUGGCAGAGACAGCCCGACCCAGAGAAACCCAGCAACGCUACUUUCUAAGGGCAUUUUUCCCUCUCAUUUGGAAUCCUGAGCCUCCUGCUCGUCCUGUAGGCCACACCCAGCAAACAGAGCUGGCUGGGAACUGGGAGAAGAGCUGGAGCAACAGCCUGCAUCCAUUUCCUCUUGCUGCAAUAACAACUGAUCACAAGGUCAGUGGCUUAAACAACACAGAUUUACUCUCUUACAGUCUGAAGUAAGAGCCAAGAUGUCAGCGGGGCCGUGUUGCUUCCAGAGGCCCUAGGGAAAUCCAUUUCCUUGCACUUCCAGCUUCUAGAGGCCACCUGCGUUCCUUAGCUUGUGGCCUCAUCCUCAUUCUUCAAAGCCAGGCAUGUAGCAUCUUCCGGCUCCUCUCUCUCGCUCUGACCUUCCUGCCUCUCUGUUACAAGGAUCCACUUUUGUGGCUAAAAUGGGUCCAUCCUCCCCAGCCUGAAUGUGAAGACCCCCUCCUCCACGGCACCCCAUUGCCCAGGACAAGGAUGGGGCCCAUCACUGCUGCCCAGAGGAUAGGGAGACCCUCUCCAGGUUUCCUGGGAAGGCAUCAAGAUGUUCCCAAGGCUCAAAGAAAAAAGAAAUGGCUGGGCAUGGUGGCUCAUGCCUGUGAUCCGAGCUCUUUGGGAGACCAAGGCAGGAGAACCACUUGAGCCCAGGAGUUUGAAACCAGCUUGGACAGUGAUGGGCAAACCCCAUCUCUACAAAAAAUAAAAAAGUUAGCUGGAUGUGGUGGUGCACACCUGUAGUCCCCAACUAUUUUGAAGCGAGAUCACUUGAGGCCUUGAGGCUGGGAGGUUAAGGCUGCAGUCAGCCAUGACUGCUCCACUGCACUCCAGCCUGGGCAACACCGUGAGCCCUGAUCUCAAAAAUAAAUAAAUAAACAAAUAAAGAUGCUCCCAAGGGUGCUGGGCUCUGUUGGCCCAGGCCUGUAGUCCUGCUCCCUUGCCAGAAGUAAGAGCUGGCCUAAGGGAGAGCUGAAGCUUGCUCUGACGGGGACUCCUAAGUCCCUACAGAUUCUGCAGAUUCUCCUAGGGAUCGGUACCUCCUGGUUUGGGGAAUGGUCCCAGGAGCUGAUCAGUUGGGCCGCACUAGGCUCUGGACCUCCCUUCUGGGGGGAAGAGGAGGGGACUCCAGGGCCUGGGACCAAGGGCAUGUCCAGGGAGCUUGGAGCAGGGAAGCCCUGCCCUGCCCUAUACCUGCUGAGCAAGAAGCAAGAGCAGAAGGACUCUUGCUCCCUCUCUGAGCCUCAGGGGUCUGUUAGGAAGGUGGGGAUACCCUCAAAGCCUCCCUCCUGGGUCCUGUGGGUCAGUGCAACCUGUUGAGCAUGCCCUGCCUAUUUAGAAGAGGCAGGGACGCCAGGGACAAAUCUUGUGCUAAGCAGACAUGGGCCUUCAUGGGGCUUCCAUGGUACCAUGAAGACAGCCAUGGCCCUGCCUGGGUCCUGGAGAGAAGGGGAUGAGAAGGAGAGCUGCUGCUCGCUUGCAGCUCAGCUGACACCCAACACAAGCAAAAAGAUCUUUCUGCUUCCAAGGCACUGAGACACGGAGGUUGUUCAUUACCACAGCACAAUCCAGCAAGAGGUGACCAACACACUCUCCCCAGCUGCAUCUAGUUGCAGCUGGUGCACUCCCUGUAGGCCCUCUUUCUCACUUCUGUCUGCUGUUAGGGACUCUACAGCCCAGGACCCCAGGCUGGAGAAAUCAGCAAGCUAGUUGAUUUCUCCCUCUCCCUCAAUUUCCACAAUUCUUCAGUUGCUGGGGUCACACGACUCUGCAGUCCAGAACUCCUCCCCCUUAGCGAUCGGCUCUUCCCCAACCCCUCCCCAACCUCUCUUCCCUGCAGCCCGAGAACUCCCUGCUUGCUGGGCAUAGUGUCUGCACCCCAAUUAUGGGAGCAGAACAGAGGUCCCUCACCUGGGGUAUGCCAUGAGUAGAACUCAGGACAUUCAUGAACUUGGAUGGAGAAAAAAAAAAUCCCAUCUCCAUUUUCUCUAACAUCUAACUACAGUGUAGUAUUUCCUUCCAUGAUGAUCAUACCCAGCAAAGCCAGAAGUCAGUGGUACCUGCGGCACUGUUACCAACAGAAAUCACAGCUGUCUUCUGAUCACAACAAAGCUGGUGCAGAUUUCUCAAAAUCUCACUCAUCACUCCGUUGCAGACCCGCCGCCACAUCUUGUUAAUGCUUAGUAAAGAGGCACAUUUAUUAUCACAUCACAAAUGUGAUUUAUUUUUUCUUUUCUUUUUUAGAUGGAGUCUCACUCUGUCAACCAGGCUGGAGUGCACUGGCGCAAUCUCGGCUCACUGCAGUCACCUCCUCUCAGGUUCAAGUGAUUCUCCUGCCUCUGCCUCCUGAGUAGCUGGGAUUACAGGUGCAUGCCACCACGCUCUGCUAAUUUUUGUAUUUUUAGUAGAGACGGGGUUUCACCGUGUUGGCCAGGCUGGUCUGGAACUCCUGACCUCAGGUGAUCCGGCUGCCUCAGCCUCCCAAAGUACUGGGAUUACAGGCAUGAGCCACCACACCUUGCCACAAAUGUGGUUUUUAAAUGUGGUUUUUAAAAAUAUCUUGAUAGCCAUAUUUCCAGUGACUCGGUUUCCUGUGUAAUCCUACGUAUUUGUUAUGCAUGUACAAAGAAGACAGGGCAUGAAGGUGUCACCAGAUGCCACAGCAGCCCACAGCACAGAAAAGGUCACAACCACCUACUUCAGAGAAAGGCACUGGGGACCUUGGCUAUGUGGACAAGAACCAGGAGCUUGGGCUUCCCAGGCACAGCAGGGAAGCCUGCAGGGGCCUGACAGGUGGAUAACCUAGUGCCCAAGGCAGGGCUGGGUGGAGGAGAGAGUGGCACCCUCUGAUUGUCUGAGGUCUCUAUCUCUAGAGGACAGUACCACAGAUUGGAAGCCAGGUCUUUCCAGAGUCCCUGUGACCUCCUCUUUCUGCAUGAAACCCAGAUUGAGUAGGAAAAUGUCCCCAGGAGGAAGCAGCCACUGCCCAAGGGAGACAGCUAGAGACUCGCUGGGCAGGCUACAUCCCUGGGCUUCUCUCGGACCCGACAAGAGCCUGUCCAUCCCUUCACCUCCACUAAGAUCAGGGCACCCCAGGAGUCUCGGCAGGGCCACCCCAGGCUCUGCUCUGCCCUGGAAAGGUCCUCGUUUCACACUGACUCAGUUUCAGUUUUGGAAGGAGGUCAGAGGUUGCCUCCAUGUCCCUUCUCCCCACUGGUUCUCUGGAACCCUCCAUCAUAGAUGUCCCUGCCCUUCCUUCCCUGCUCAGGAGCAAAACCCCCAACCCCCAGGAGCUGGUCUCUCUAAGUCCUCUUGGAUCAGGCCAGGCUCAGCCCUGGAGGCCACAGCUCAGGCCCUGAGCCAGCCCAAGGGGCAGGGCGAGGAACCUACAUUGUUGUGUGCCCAGCCCCUUUAAGGGGCCCAUACGGACAAGAGCAAAUUCAGUAGGUUGCGUCAUCCACUCUAUAGUGAUUAAACAGGGAUGGUGGAGAAGUAGAGAAGUGUCAGCUCUGGAACCAGGUGGCCCUAGAUUGAAAUCCUAGCUCUGCUAUUUACCAGCCAGGUGGCCUUGGAUAGGUGAUUUGACCAAUACCGUUCCUCCGUUUCCCCACCUUGAGUGUUAUUGCAAGGAUUAAAUGAGUUACUACAAAGUAAAGUACUAAAUACAUAUCAGCUAUUAUUAUUAUUACUACUACUAUUAUUAUUAUGAGCCAGGAGAUGGGGACUGUGACAUAGGCUGCUGGUCUCUUCUCUCCUCUUCCAUAAGAAUAGUUCACCCCAUCCUUAGCUGGGUGUAUGGCCACCUGGCCCAAAACUACAUUUCCCAGCAUCCCUUGCUGCUAGAUGUGACCAUGUGAUCAAGUUCUGGCCAAUGAGAUGCCAGGAGAAGUGGUUUGGCCCACUUCCUGGGAGUUUUCUUUAAAGGACAGGGGCAAUGCCUUCUCCUUUUCUUCUCCUUUCUGCUGACCAGAAUGUGAGCAUGGAGUCUGGAGCAGGAGCAGCUGUUGUGCACUGUGAGGUUGAAGCCGUGUGUUGAGAAUAGCAGAGCAACAAAGCAAUAGGAGCUGGAGCCCCUAGGGGCCAUGAAGCCCCUACCAGCCCUGGACUGCUUAGAUUUACUUGAGCAAGAAAUAAACCCUUGAUUGUU